Molecule: ribosomal RNA, 429 nt
Filed under: Bacteroidota bacterium
Lineage: Bacteria; Pseudomonadati; Bacteroidota
Description: Bacteroidetes bacterium partial 16S ribosomal RNA
Rfam family: Bacterial small subunit ribosomal RNA
Source: RNAcentral
UAGGGAAUCUUCGGCAAUGGGGGGAACCCUGACCGAGCAACGCCGCGUGAGUGAAGAAGGUUUUCGGAUCGUAAAGCUCUUUUGUUAAGGAAGAACGAGUGUGAGAAUGGAAAGUUCAUACUGUGACGGUACUUAACCAGAAAGGGACGGCUAACUACGUGCCAGCAGCCGCGGUAAUACGUAGGUCCCGAGUGUUGUCCGGAUUUAUUGGGCGUAAAGCGAGCGCAGGCGGUUAGAUAAGUCUGAAGUUAAAGGCAGUGGCUCAACCAUUGUAGGCUUUGGAAACUGUUUAACUUGAGUGCAGAAGGGGAGAGUGGAAUUCCAUGUGUAGCGGUGAAAUGCGUAGAUAUAUGGAGGAACACCAGUGGCGAAGGCGACUCUCUGGUCUGUAACUGACGCUGAGGCUCGAAAGCGUGGGUAGCAAACAGG